UAGGCAUUUCGCCAAAGGAGAUAAGCAAAUAGCUGAUAAGUACAAGAAAAGAAGCCCAACAUCACUAUUAGGGAUAUGCAAAUCAAAACCACAAUAAAAUAUCACCUCACACCCAUAAGGAUGGCUGCUUAAAAAAAAAAAAAAGUGUUGGUGAGGUGGGGGAUAAAUUGGAAAUUUGUGUACUAUUCCUGAUCAUGUAAAAUGGUGUAGCUGCUGUGGAAAACAGUAUGGUGGUCCCUAAAAAAGAGAGACAGAGAGAGAAUUACCAUAGUAUCCAACAAUUCCACUUCUGAGUAUACCCAAAAGAAUUGAAAGCAGCAUCUUUCUGCAAUAUUUGUAUUUCAGAAUGCUGUUCUUAACAGCAUUAUGCACAAUAACUAAAAGGCAGAAGCAAACCAAGUAUCCACCAACCGAUGCAUGGGUUAACUAAAUGUGGUGUACAUAUACAAUGGAAUUCUUCAACCUGAAAAAGGAAGAAAAUCCUGACCAAGCUACAAUAUGGAUGAACCUUGGGUACAUGAUGCUAAUUGAAAGAAGCCAGUCACAAAAAGACGAGAAGCUGAGCAGCUAGAUUAACUUGCCCUGAGCCUUUCAGCUACCACGUUCAAGUGUAUUUCUGCGAUGCCACGUGGAUUAGAGGGGAGGAGAGAAUUGGCCAUGCAGACUAGAGGGGAGGAGAGAAAUGGCAGGUGAACACCGGGAGAUCCACUCUGCCCCUGCCAGUAUAACGUGUGGCUUCUGUACCGAGUCAUGGCCCCUGGGGCAGUCAUCGGCACUGGUAGCCCAUAGGCCCUGUCCCUCUCCUGAGCUUCCUACAGAUAGAACUCCAGCUGCCCACAGCCCAAGAUCGCUCCAGUCACAGCAGAUGCUUUCAGAAUUCAGGGGCUGGGGGGAAGGGAGAAGGCUGCACACAAAAUUUGGGGAGUGAGGGGGGGUGCAGUGCUAUGUUUCAAAAAGAUGGUCACGGCACUUUGGAAAUAUUGGUUUAAAGUCCAUGGUGUGCCCCCUUUUAGCUAACUUCAGCUACUUCUCAUUUUUCUAACUGUACAUCCACAUAUUUUCAUUAGAAAGCUAAUGACCUCAAAGUACUCUCAGCAAAUCCUGAGAGGAUAGGAAUGAUCCUAUCUUGCAAUCUCUAAUAGCCUAUGUGCUGACUUAGUGUCAUAAAUUAAUAAAGUACAUGUCAAAGCAUAUAAUCAAACUCUGUGAUGGGGUGCACGUUCUGGAAACUUGUUUCAUUUUUAAUAACAAAUUCAGCGGUGGGAGCAUCUCUAAUACUUCUCAUUCCCCAGUACCCAAAUCUUGGUAGAGUUCCUCAGUAAACAUUCCAGGAGAGAUCCUUAACGUGUUCCUGAAUGCUCUGAAAUUGUAUGCAAGAUUGUGAGGGUGUAUGUACAUCUCUCUGGGGAAAGGAUCCUUAACUUUCAUCAGAUUCUCAAAGGACCUGUAACUCCCCAAAGGUUGAGAAUUACUGCAUUUCAGUGAUACCACCACACAUCAUAGUUCCCCCCUUGCACAGUUUUGGUAUGUGUAAAUGUUUUUCUGUAGUGUUCUGGGGAACUAGAAGGAUUUCAAUUUCGUUUCCGUAACAUAUCCCAUUUCUACUGGGGAUACUUACAAGAAUAGGGAACUGACACUAGGAACAGGAAAUGCUACAGCUGGCGAGUCGGGAGUGGGAGGUUUUGUGACACCUUGGGAGAGAUGAAGGAGUCCGGGGAAAAGAAACCUGCUUUUGCACUGCCCUCCCGUGUCUGCAGGGAGGAUGGGCAGACGACACUACCAGAGCCCGGAGUCAUCCUGGCCAAAGCUAAAGCUCUCAACCCGAGGAAUUAAGAGAUACAGAAGCCCCCCUGGGGUUCAGUUCCACAACACCUCUGGGGAGUUGGGGGUUGAAAAAAUUAAGGUCUCACAGAAAGAAAAGACCCAUUUGUAGUUUCUAAAAUAAAACAAUAUAAGACAUGAUUAACUGGAUUUCAUACAUCUUAAAUUAGUAGAAAUGGAAACUGUUGUGUUAUUUUCCACUUUCCUUUUCCCUGAUCGGUAGAAGUGUUCUAGUAUCUCCUUUCCUCAGAGUUUCAACACAAUAUUUAGAAAUCUGCUUUGCUUUGUUGCAGACUCUCUGUAUCCUGAGUCAGUUUCUCCAGCCACCUAGAGGCUCCCUAGGAUUCAGACUCAAUGAGCCAAAUAAAUUCUGUGCCUCUUCUUCAUGCCAGGCAUUCUGCUGGGCAUCGAAGAUGUGACAGUGACCAAGACAGGCAUGGCCUGGGGCUUCGCGGGAUUCCCAAUCUAAUGGGGACACACACUAAUCAUUAAAGGCAAUUAUCACACACUAUGAUGUGCACUGUGAUAGGAGUGUUCUAGGGAAGUCACAUUAAAAGGGGAUCUAGAAAGGAAUUGGUGGGGAAUGGUUGGGGAAAACACAAGGUAGUAAUGGCUCAACUGGGACCUGAAGGAAGGAUUAAAAUUAAUCAGAACAGAAAAGAAUGGCUCAAAGGAAGAACUGAAUGCACAUAUGACAAAACAACAUUAGUACUACCAGAACAAUCAUGUGAGGGGAGUAGCUGGAGAUAAGGUAGGCAGGGGGCCAGAACAAGAAGCCUCUGUUAAGUCAUGUCAAAAAGACUUAUUCCUGAGACCAAUGGAGAAACUUUGAAGGACUGAAGGAUUUGAAUCAAGAGGCUGACAAGAUGAUUUGUAUCUUUGAAAGAUAACUUUGGUCAGGUCAUGAUUUUUGCAGUCCGUGAGUUCAAGCCCCACGUCAGGCUCUGUGCUGACAGUUUGGAGCCUGGAGCCCGCUUCAGAUUCUAUAUCUCCGUCUCUCUCUGCCCCUUUCCUGCUCUCUCUCUUUCUCUCUGUCUCUUGCAAAAAUAAACAUUAAAAAAAAGAUAACUUUGGGCAUUACAUGAAAACAGAUUGAAUGAGCCAAGAAGAAGGAAGAGAAACCAGGUCUGAGGGGAAAUGAUGGCUGUCUAAUUUAGUGACAGCAGGGGUAUAAAGAAAGGAGGUGAUUUGCAAUAUAGUUAUAUCCUCAGAUCUUUCUGUUAGAUGGCUGGUCUAAGGCCCGAGUUUUCUUCAACUUUCUCCACCUUUCCUAGGAAUUCACUGGAAAGCCCUCCAUGUCUCCUCCAUCAUUUGCUUCUCUCUCUGUUCCAUUCCCAAAUCCACCCACUGAGAAUACAACACAAGUUACAAUAUACUGGGACAGAAAUGCUCAAGCUUUCCCCAAAAAACAAUGUGCACAAAUAAAUAUAUGCAUAUCAGAAUUUCAUAUAAGGUGACAAAUUACUGCGGAUAAAGGAGAGUCACCAAAAGACUUUUAUCAUUCCAAGCAUCCAAAGUAAUUCUGAAUCUCUGACUCAAAGUUGGCAGCAUUAAUUAUGAUGCAUAAAAUCUGAAGAACAUUUCACUUGUGCAAAGAGACCAGGAGGAAAAAAUGCCUCCUGCUAAUUUGUCCAAGACCAUAUAGAAGUUUGUGACUGUGUGCUAUCUGCUUUAGAGUGAAAUUGAUUUACAAGUUUCUGGAAAAAAAGGUGGUAAAUGGAAAGUAACUGCACUGCACAGUAUCCAUUAUUAUUCACUUAAGAUGUAUAAAAUUUCAUUGGUGUUGUGUUUAGUAUGCUGACUAAAGUGCGUGUGUUUUAGUGGAAGGAAGUUCUAAGUGCUUUCAUUGGUAUAUUCAUACUUCAGUGCCUCUCAUUUUAUUUUUUCUUAUGAGAUUUUUAAGCACCUACAGCACAAAAGCCCUCAUAACUGAAGAAGGAAUGUACAGUUACAAAGAUAAAAACGCCUCGCCUCUAGGAAUAACUUUCCUUAAUUGGCAAAGUCAGUCAUGAGUUUCAUAAAGAUUUUCCCGGAGCAGAAAGUGUGGUUGUACAUCAGAUUUUCCCAAUAACUGAUCAGAAAGAGAUAUUGAAGGAACUUAGAUUCUAAAGAGUUUGCAUCUGAACAGAAGACAGUGGGUCCAAGAUGGGAACACUUAAAAUGUUAUAGAAGCUCUGACUUUGUCAGUGGUGCAUGUGCGUGAACAACUCUACCUGGGUACUUCAGGAAAAUGGGCUUUUCUCAAGCAAGUUUGCCCUCGGGAGAAAGGAUAACUAGAUACUUGGGGCAAUCAUGGAAAUCUUGAAAAUUCAGAUUUAGAUAGACAAAGCUCCACUUUGGAGGAACUAUCAGGUGUGUUUUAUUUUGAUCCCUAUCUCCUACAUGCCCGAAAAGAGAAAAGAACAAAUUGCAAAAGAAUUAAGGCCCAAAUCAUUUUCUCCCUAAACUUAAAAUACUUAAAAAAGAAACUAACUAUGCUGUAAUAGUAUUGACACCAUAGGUGUUUGCCUUUAACUAAAUAAAAGUACAUGUUGUAUAAAAGUCGUAUGCGGAAGUAUAGUUUAUAAUAUAAACCAAAAGCCAGAAUUUUAAGAGUAAAUUUCUAAACAUAAAAUGGAGCUUUAAAAUAUAAAGGUCAACAAUUUUAUCGUCAAUUUUUUCUUUUAGAGUUCUACUUGAGAAGGCAGAAAAGAACUUAUUAAGUACAUCUUCCUUACAUGACUUCAGUUGGGUCAGCACUAGAAGGAAACAAAGCAGGAAGAAAGAGAAGAGAGAGAUGUACUGAGUACCUACUAUGUCCCAUGAAUGAAAUGAAUUAUUUCCUUUAAACUCUCUGAAAUACGUAUGAGAUAGGCAAGUAUGUAUUGAUAUUACAGAUGAGGAAACAAGCUCAAAAAGACUAUGUAAUUCCAGAGCAAAGACCUGAAUUUAGUUCAGUCUGCUUCUAAAGUCUGUGUUCUUUUCUAUUUUUAACAUUUAUUUAUUUUUGAGAGACAGAGACACAGAACACGAGUGGGGAAGGGGCAGAGAGAUAGGGAGACACAGAACCUGAUGCAGGCUCCAGACUCUGAGCUGUCAGCACAGAGCCCGGUGCAGGGUUCAAACGCAGGAACCAUGAGAUCAGGACCCGAGCCAAAGUGGGAUGCUCAACAGACUGAGGCACCCAGGCACCCUCAAAGUCUGUGUUCUUAACCACUAGUCUAUACUUUGACAUUCUAACUAAAGCAACACAUCUCUAGGGAAAACUGACAAGAAAGGUAAAAAGGUAGGCAUCAGGUCCCUCAUUAACCAGGUUGGGAGCCUUUUACUGAGCUUUGUUUACAGACUCCAAGAAGCCUUCCAGCCCUUUAGGUCCACAUUCAUGUAAUACUAUUUCUAAAAAUAAGAUUCUCAGAAACACAGUGCUCUAAGACUCCUCUGGAAAACUCAUAAGACAGAUUGGUAUAUUAAAAGACACCAGAGGGGUGCAUGUGUGGCUCAGUUGGUUAAGCAUCCAACUCUUGAUUUUGGCUCAGGUCAUGAUCUCACGGUUCAUGAGUUCGAGCCCCAUGUCAGGCUCUGCGCUGCCCAUGCGGAGCCUGCUUGGGAUUCUCUGUCUCCCUCUCACUCUGCUCCUCCCCUGCACUGGCUCUUGCUCUCGCUC
This is a long non-coding RNA of Acinonyx jubatus (cheetah), 5464 nucleotides long. RefSeq lists it as uncharacterized. The record is from RefSeq and is a predicted model, not a curated record. Lineage: Eukaryota; Metazoa; Chordata; Mammalia; Carnivora; Felidae. The transcript has 3 exons.